Molecule: long non-coding RNA, 3400 nt
Filed under: Sus scrofa (pig)
Lineage: Eukaryota; Metazoa; Chordata; Mammalia; Artiodactyla; Suidae
Description: lncRNA (ENSSSCG00000058878.1)
Source: RNAcentral
CAGAAAGAAAUAGAGAGUUCAAGCUCUCUAGUGUCCUUUUCAUAAGGGCACUGAUUCCAUUAUGAGGCUCUACCUUUAUGACUUCAUCUAACCCUAACUACCUCCCAGGACCCUGUCUCAAAAUAUCAUCACUUUGGGGGUUAGGGCUUCUACAUAUGAAUACUGGGGAAACACAAUUCAGUAUGUAACCACUAGUAAGGAUUAUUUUAGGUCAAUGUGCUAAGUUUCUUAGAGAAGGUAGAGAUAUUAACUUCAGAAUUUGUAAAGUCAGAUUGAUUAAUCUGAUUUCAAAUAUGCUUUAUUGGUGAUUGGCAUUUAUAGGAUAUAUAUUAAUUUCUAUUGAAGAAUCUGGUUGGUUAUUUGAUUACCUUUAAAAUAUGGCCUUCUUAAACUAAAUUAUAGUACUCUUAUCAAACACAGUUAUUGGAUUACUUUUAAAAUAUGGCCUUCUUAAACUAAAUUAUAGUACUCUUAUCAAAUAUUAUAGUCAAAUAUUCCCCAAAGUCUUUUGUUUUCCUCAGAGUAAAUCAUUUAAUUAAUGUAGCAUAGAUAGCUGAAGAUUACUUUUCAACUAUUUCAUAAAUAAAGUAAAAAUAUCUCAAAAUAUAGGUUAUAGUUUUGUUAUAUUUUUUCUUAAAGAUAUUUAUCUUCAUAUCACUAUAAAUUAUAUCAAUGUAACAUUUAUAUUUGUCUCAGAAUAGCUUUAUAAUCAGGUCAAAAGCAAGUUAUCUUGAACCAACAUAGGUUUGAACUCCAUUGGUCCACUUAUAUUCAGUUUUUCAAUAAAAAAGUGUAUACAGUGCUAAAGAAAACCCACAGGCACUUGGUCGAAUCUGCAGAUGCAAAACUCUGCAUUCAAAGGGCUAGAAUAUAAAGUUAUACAUGAGUUUUCCACUGUGUGUAGGGUCAGCGCCCCUAACCCCUGCCUUGUUCCAGAGUCAACUGUGCAUCCUAAUUGGCAUGGUGGCUAUUAUAAAGGGAAAAAAAUAGACUCAAUAAAAACAGCAACAGAUUGAAAACUGUUGAAAUUACUCAAAGCUUAGACAACCUCAAAAUAAUUUUAGGUGUGUAUUCUAAACUAGCAAAAAAUAACUUUAAUGGCAUUUCAACAAAACCAAAUUACUGUAAUUUAAAGUUAAUGAGAGACUGAUUUUGGUUAUUUUUUCAAUAUAUCAUAAAUACAUUUGUAACAUAGUUAUGUUUAUUUCAAAUAUGUAGGUUUAACUUAACUCUCUUUAAGAACCCACUGCCUGAGGAUUUAAGUUCAUAAAGUAAUGAAACAUAUAGAUCAUUUAUGACAGUAAGAAAAAUCAUCAAAUUUAAUCCUGAAAUUGCCUUCUUCUUCUAGUCCCAGCCUGCAUGCAAAGGGCACCAAUAGAACCUUCUUUAUUAAAAAAAAAUGAGAGAUGAAAAACCCUUUCACAUGUUUUAUUACAAUUUUAGAAUUGCUUUCUUUGUUUUGCUAUUUAGUUUUAAGGAGAGCAAAGCUUCUUUGUUUAUGUUUGACAAACAAAGCUUUUGGAAAAAUUUAAAUGUUUAUUUUUCCCCUUUACAUUGUAGGACCCAAUUACUUUUAAAAACAAAUCUAUUGAUAUGGCUUAAAAAGUUACUGCUAUGACUGCAAUUUUAAUUUUUAUAAUAUAGCCAUAAAUGUAUUGAAUUAUGAUAUUGAAAAAAAUGUAUUGUCUUAAUUUGAAAUAAAUAAGCCAUAAUACUUUUACUUAUUCUCAAAAAGCAUUAUGUAGAAAUCAGAAAAACUCUGCUAUCAUGAGCAUUUUAAUCUUUACAUGUAUCUAGGUCUUAUUUCAAACAUCAUAAUUGAUGGGAUUGUCAAUUGAUUUCUAAAGUAACAGGAACCUAUUUUUUGCCCUUUCUGAAUUUCACUGAAUUUUGACUUACCACUAGGGGGACUAACCCCCUUAAAGCUCAAUUUUGAUGUGUUUUUUGAGUUAUUCAAUUUUAAAAUUUAUCAUCUGUUAUAUAAUUUUGAUUUUAAAUUUUAUAUAGAGAAGAGAUUUCAUAUGCAAAAGAGCUUUUAACAAAUACCUACAGUGGGCAUGCAUGAAAGGAAUUCACUAUUAUGUUUCCCAUGCCAGGAACCCACCUGAGCACAAAACGAGACCACCUGUGGGGGCCCUGUGCCGUGGGUCUCUGGCUCAGUGCAUUGAACAGUCAUUUUACAUGAGUGAUAGUAUUUUAACACCCAUACUUUUUCACUUCCUUUUCCUUCUCUAGGUGCAGUUUUAUCACAUUUGUAUCAUCAGGGUAAUUUCUCAACAAUGAUUUCCUCUGCUAAGACUAAUUUUCCUCUAUUUAUUAAGAGAGAUGAGACAAAUUUUGAAAACCUUUGCUUUCCUAGAUUUCAGGUCAACUGUGUGUAAUAGAAAAUAAGCUAACUAAUAUCCAGAAGACUUGGAAUGAUCAAACUCACUUGAAUUGAAUAAACAUGAAGGAUCAAAUAAACCAUGGUUAAAACAUAAUCUCACAAAUAAAAUAAUAAUAGUAAUCCAUACAUAUAUGAAAUGAAAGCAUAUAUAUGACAUAUGGGCAUAUCAAGAAAGAUUGAGUAAUAACUAGGAAUAUAACUAUGUUUAAUAAGAUGGUCAUAACUUAUUAAUAAAAACUAUUUUUGUUUGUUACCAAGCAGAUGGUUUAAACAACAAUAAAUCCCUAUGUUAGGAAUUCCAGCUUCCCUCAUUCCUGAAGCAGAUAUCAAAUCAUUGGGGGUUGAGUUUUAAAAGUAUAGUGGACAUUUGAUUUUGAGAAUGUAUUUUAAAUUGUUACUAGUAUUUUAUAGGCCCCAGAGUCAUCAAUUCAAUUUCUCUAACCCUUUCAGGAUCUUACUAGAUGAUGCAGAAAUGCAUCUCAGAUGCCCUAGUUCCUACUGUAGUGGAUUUAUCAGUGUCCCACACUGAUCCACAAAGAACUUUCUGUUAUGCACAUAUAAUUAUUAGAAAAGAAGUGACUAGAAAGUAUAUUUUUAUGUAUGGAGCAUCAGGCAAUCUGAAUCAUAAAGAAUGUUCAUGCCUAACAAAUUUAGCAAAACUCACCAGUUCUGUUUCAUUUUCCUAAAACAUAUCAGGGGUAUGACUGAUAUACUAAAGAAAAAAAAUUGAAUCUAAUAACUGCAGUGCUUGGAAAUUAACCAAACUGGAGUUCCCGUCGUGGCGCAGUGGUUAACGAAUCCGACUAGGAACCAUGAGGUUGCGGGUUCGGUCCCUGCCCUUGCUCAGUGGGUUAAUGAUCCGGCGUUGCUUGAGCUGUGGUGUAGGUUGCAGAUGCGGCUCGGAUCCUGCAUUGCUGAGGCUCUGGCGUAGGCUGGCAGCUACAGCUCCUAUUAGACCCCUAGCCUGGGAACCUCCAUAUUCCGCGGGAGCGGCCCAAGAAAUAGCAAAAAGAC